This is a non-coding RNA of Sesamum indicum (sesame), 1001 nucleotides long. The record is from RefSeq and is a predicted model, not a curated record. NCBI's taxonomy places the organism in Eukaryota, Viridiplantae, Streptophyta, Magnoliopsida, Lamiales, Pedaliaceae.
UUUGUGGUAAUGAUAGAAACCUGUACAGUAGCCACGGUCAAAUCAAUGUCUUCCAACGGUCAUAACGACCUUACAAACAAGGCCUCCCACUUUCCAAAGAAUAUGACAACUGAAAAUAAGCUGUACCAAUGAUUGAAGAAAGGAUCAGCAGUCAGCACAAACAAACAGGCGUGCAUGUUUUCAAUAUCACCAUCAUCAUCUCCCCACCUCUAUAUAACCCUUAUUCUUCUUUCUCAAUUUCAGAAAACACAAGAAAAAAACAAAAAAAAAGGGGGGGAGUAUAUGUUUUAGGCGAAAACCGGAGCGAACAUUUCUUGUAUCGUCCAAUCUCGCUGCUCGCUAGGCUUGAUCAUCCCAGGACUGUGCGAGGUAAUCAUGGGAGGCUGCGCGAGCAAACCCAAAGACUUGGAUACCAAAAGGGCUCCGGCCCCCGUUGAAGCACCUGCAGGUGCUCCGGCUGCAGAGGCACCCUGCCGCUGACAAGUCUGAGGCAGAAACCGUGGUGCAAGAGAAGAAAGAUGGAGGUGAGGCUAAGGAAGGACUGUUGGUAGAUGUAUCUGCACCAGCCCCCGAGGCCCCCAAGAACGAGGAAGUGAUGAAAAUGGAAGCGAAACCCGUAGCUGAGGAAGCUAUUCCAGUUGCUGUUCCUGUUGAGACCAAGCCAGUAGAAGUGAAGGCUGAGGCUGUGGAGGCCAAGGAACCACAAAAGGAGGAGAAAAAAGAGGUGAACGAGCCACCAAAGGAGGCAGCGGGAACGGUUGCCACCACCUAGAAACCAGCAGCACGAAUGAAAGCUAAACGCAUCAGUAGUUAAAGUAAAAUAAUGUGUUAGGUUUAGUUUUUAUUGCAUUCGUCAUUGUUAGGCAUCAUAUGGAGUGCUUUUAUAUGUUUAUUUGUACGUUGCGGCCCAAGGGACUAAAUUCUGUACAAUAGACGAAUGAUCAUCGCUUUGUACUAAUUAUUGAAAACAUUUCUUUAAGAUUAAUGGUUGCUACCGUCAA